RNAcentral lists this ribosomal RNA (383 nucleotides) under uncultured eukaryote. RNAcentral's name for it is "partial 18S ribosomal RNA". It matches the Rfam family "Eukaryotic small subunit ribosomal RNA", at positions 592 to 976 of the family's 1831-position model. The record is from RNAcentral.
CAAUAGCGUAUAUUAAAGUUGUUGCAGUUAAAAAGCUCGUAGUUGGAUUUCUGGUGGGAGCGAUCGGUCUGGCGCUUAGCGCGAGUACUUGCAUCGUCUCCGGCCAUCCUUGGGGAGAGUCUGUCUGGCAUUAGGUUGUCGGGCAGAGGAUCCUCAUCGUUUACUGUGAAAAAAUUAGAGUGUUCAAAGCAGGCUUAUGCCGUUGAAUAUAUUAGCAUGGAAUAAUAGAAUAGGACUCGGUUCUAUUUUGUUGGUUUGUUGGGACUGAGUAAUGAUUAAGAGGGACAGUUGGGGGCAUUUGUAUUUCGUCGCUAGAGGUGAAAUUCUUAGAUUGACGAAAGACAAACUGCUGCGAAAGCGUCUGCCAAGGAUGUUUUCAUUGA